UACAGGGGGGGCAAGCGUUGUUCGGAAUUACUGGGCGUAAAGGGUUCGUAGGUGGCUCACUAAGUCACACGUGAAAUCCCUCAGCUUAACUGGGGAACUGCGUGUGAUACUGGAUGGCUUGGAUUUGGGAGAGGGAUGCGGAAUUCCAGGUGUAGCGGUGAAAUGCGUAGAUAUCUGGAGGAACACCGGUGGCGAAGGCGGCAUCCUGGACCAAUAUUGACGCUGAGGAGCGAAAGCCAGGGGAGCAAACGGG
RNAcentral lists this ribosomal RNA (253 nucleotides) under uncultured bacterium. RNAcentral's name for it is "partial 16S ribosomal RNA". It matches the Rfam family "Bacterial small subunit ribosomal RNA", at positions 524 to 776 of the family's 1533-position model. The record is from RNAcentral.